Molecule: ribosomal RNA, 812 nt
Filed under: uncultured bacterium
Lineage: Bacteria
Description: bacterial SSU rRNA
Rfam family: Bacterial small subunit ribosomal RNA
Source: RNAcentral
AGAGUUUGAUCCUGGCUCAGAACGAACGCUGGCGGCGUGCCUAACACAUGCAAGUCGAACGGAGUUGAGGGGCUUGCUUCUCAACUUAGUGGCGCACGGGUGAGUAACGCGUAGAUAAUCUGCCUGAUGAUUUGGGAUAACACUUCGAAAGGGGUGCUAAUACCGAAUAAGCCCACGGAGUCCUUGGACUCUGCGGGAAAAGGGGGGGACCUUUAUCGGCCUUCCGUCAUCAGAUGAGUCUGCGUACCAUUAGCUAGUUGGUAGGGUAAAGGCCUACCAAGGCGACGAUGGUUAGCUGGUCUGAGAGGAUGAUCAGCCACACUGGAACUGAGACACGGUCCAGACUCCUACGGGAGGCAGCAGUGGGGAAUUUUGCGCAAUGGGGGAAACCCUGACGCAGCAACGCCGCGUGAGUGAUGAAGGCCCUUGGGUCGUAAAGCUCUGACAGAGGGAAAGAAAUGUGGGUGGCUAAUAUCCAUACCACUUGACGGUACCCUCAAAGGAAGCACCGGCUAACUCCGUGCCAGCAGCCGCGGUAAUACGGAGGAUGCAAGCGUUAUCCGGAUUCAUUGGGUUUAAAGGGUGCGCAGGCGGAAUAAUAAGUCAGCGGUGAAAGCCUACAGCUUAACUGUAGAACUGCCAUUGAUACUGUUAUUCUUGAGUGUUGUUGAGGUAGGCGGAAUGUGUCAUGUAGCGGUGAAAUGCUUAGAUAUGACACAGAACACCGAUCGCGAAGGCAGCUUACCAAGCAACAACUGACGCUCAUGCACGAAAGCGUGGGGAUCAAACAGGAUUAGAUACCCUGGUAGUCC